CGCGCGCGUGCGCAGGACUUCCUGAGCGGCCCCCGGGCUCCUCCCUGGCCUGGAGCGUGAGGGAAAACUGGGUCUGGUUAUUACAGCGCAACGGAGCUGGAGUCCAUGCCGCACAACCAGUUACCUACGGUCCAAAACAUGCCAAAGUUUUCCGGGCUUUCGCGCCCACCCGCAUCGCCAGUUUUCCGGCGCCAGAAAGCCCGGGAGCCACGUGGGACGGCCCCUUGUGGGGUGGGGAAAGGGGAGGAGCUAGUGUCCCUGAGUCGUGGGCAGGUAAGAGGGUGGGUGGAGACCCGUGUUCGCAGCUGUUGUCGCUGAGGCCGCAGUCGUCUUUCCAGGCCUACAGGAUUUGGCUUCCAGCCCCUGCUGCCUUUAUCAGCUGUCUGAGCUUAGCAUGUUACUUUACCGCUAUCCCAAUACCUUCAUUUGUAAAUGGACAGGGUUCCUUUUGUUCUUUUAUUUUGUUUGUGUUUAAAAAUGUGUAAUGCAGAAGAAUGUAAUUGAACCCUUACCUUACACCGCGUAUAAAAAUUAACGCAAAAUGAAUCAAAGACCUAACUAUAAAGGCUAAAAUUAAAACUCUUAGAAGAAAACAGAGCAAAAACUUCAUAACAUUGGACUUGGUAUGAUUUCUUGGAUAUGAUACCAAAAGCAGUUUGGGAUGAUGAAAACGUUCUGGAAAUAGUGGUGGAUGGAUGCACAAGGUGAAGAUGGAGUCUUGCUCUGUCACCCAGGCUGGAGUGCAAUGGCACAAUCUUGGUGGGGGGGACUAUCUUUUCUGGAAUUUUAGGAUCCCUCCUCAG
Molecule: long non-coding RNA, 803 nt
Filed under: Homo sapiens (human)
Lineage: Eukaryota; Metazoa; Chordata; Mammalia; Primates; Hominidae
Description: HSALNT0081965
Source: RNAcentral